AGAGUUUGAUCAUGGCUCAGAUUGAACGCUGGCGGCAGGCCUAACACAUGCAAGUCGAGCGGAAACGAGAAUAGCUUGCUAUUCGGCGUCGAGCGGCGGACGGGUGAGUAAUGCUUGGGAAUAUGCCUUAUGGUGGGGGACAACAGUUGGAAACGACUGCUAAUACCGCAUAAUGUCUACGGACCAAAGGGGGGAUCUUCGGACCUCUCGCCAUUUGAUUAGCCCAAGUGAGAUUAGCUAGUUGGUAAGGUAAUGGCUUACCAAGGCGACGAUCUCUAGCUGGUUUGAGAGGAUGAUCAGCCACACUGGGACUGAGACACGGCCCAGACUCCUACGGGAGGCAGCAGUGGGGAAUAUUGCACAAUGGGGGGAACCCUGAUGCAGCCAUGCCGCGUGUGUGAAGAAGGCCUUCGGGUUGUAAAGCACUUUCAGCGAGGAGGAAAGGUUGAUGGUUAAUAGCCAUUAGCUGUGACGUUACUCGCAGAAGAAGCACCGGCUAACUUCGUGCCAGCAGCCGCGGUAAUACGAGGGGUGCAAGCGUUAAUCGGAAUUACUGGGCGUAAAGCGUACGCAGGCGGUUUGUUAAGCAAGAUGUGAAAGCCCUGGGCUCAACCUAGGAACAGCAUUUUGAACUGGCAAACUAGAGUCCUGUAGAGGGGGGUAGAAUUUCA
Molecule: ribosomal RNA, 671 nt
Filed under: uncultured Vibrionaceae bacterium
Lineage: Bacteria; Pseudomonadati; Pseudomonadota; Gammaproteobacteria; Vibrionales; Vibrionaceae
Description: bacterial SSU rRNA
Rfam family: Bacterial small subunit ribosomal RNA
Source: RNAcentral